AGGGCUGUCGCUGACCUUUCANGGUCGUGCACGCCCGAGCGCUCUCGCCACAAUCCAUCUCACCCCUUUGUGCAUCACCGCGUGGGUCCCCCUUUGCGGGGAGGGCUCGCGUUUUCACACAAAACUUGAUACAGUCUAGAAUGUUUAUUUUUGCGGUAACACGCAAUCAAUACAACUUUCAACAACGGAUCUCUUGGCUCUCGCAUCGAUGAAGAACGCAGCGAAAUGCGAUACGUAAUGUGAAUUGCAGAAUUCAGUGAAUCAUCGAAUCUUUGAACGCACCUUGCGCCCCUUGGCAUUCCGAGGGGCACACCCGUUUGAGUGUCGUGAAAUUCUCAAAAUCCUUUUCUUUGAUCGGAAUAGGACUUUUGGACUUGGAGGUUCAAUGCUCGCUUUNGCCUUUGAAAGCGAGCUCCUCUCAAAUGAAUCAGUGGGGUCCGCUUUGCUGGUCCUUGACGUGAUAAGAUGCUUCUACGUUUUGGAUUUGGCAUUGUUUUCUCCGCUCCUAACUGUCCCAUGGGACAACGAUGGUGCUUCGGUCGUCGCCAUCUAUGGCGGGAGGCUGAACCCACAAAGAACCUUGACCUCAAAUCGGGUGAGACUACCCGCUGAACUUAAGCAUAUCAAUAAGCGGAGGAAAAGAAACUAACAAGGAUUCCCCUAGUAACUGCGAGUGAAGCGGGAAAAGCUCAAAUUUAAAAUCUGGUGGUCUUUGG
This 716-nucleotide ribosomal RNA is filed under the name Russula odorata. RNAcentral's name for it is "eukaryotic LSU rRNA". The stretch from base 174 to 327 matches the Rfam family "5.8S ribosomal RNA". The record is from RNAcentral. Lineage: Eukaryota; Fungi; Basidiomycota; Agaricomycetes; Russulales; Russulaceae.